This 846-nucleotide ribosomal RNA is filed under the name uncultured archaeon. RNAcentral describes it as "bacterial SSU rRNA". It matches the Rfam family "Archaeal small subunit ribosomal RNA", at positions 78 to 922 of the family's 1478-position model. The record is from RNAcentral.
AUGGCGUACUGCUCAGUAACACGUGGAUAACCUGCCCUUGGGUCCGGCAUAACCCCGGGAAACUGGGGAUAAUUCCGGAUAACGCACAUAUGCUGGAAUGCUUUUUGCGUGAAAUGGAUUCGUCUGCCCAAGGAUGGGUCUGCGGCCUAUCAGGUAGUAGUGGGUGUAAUGUACCUACUAGCCUACGACGGGUACGGGUUGUGAGAGCAAGAGCCCGGAGAUGGAUUCUGAGACAUGAAUCCAGGCCCUACGGGGCGCAGCAGGCGCGAAAACUUUACAAUGCGGGAAACCGUGAUAAGGGGACACCGAGUGCCAGCGUCAUACGCUGGCUGUCCAGGUGUGUAAAAUACACCUGUUAGCAAGGGCCGGGCAAGACCGGUGCCAGCCGCCGCGGUAACACCGGCGGCCCGAGUGGUGAUCGUGAUUAUUGGGUCUAAAGGGUCCGUAGCCGGUUUGGUCAGUCCUCCGGGAAAUCUGACAGCUUAACUGUUAGGCUUUCGGAGGAUACUGCCAGACUUGGAACCGGGAGAGGUAAGAGGUACUACAGGGGUAGGAGUGAAAUCUUGUAAUCCCUGUGGGACCACCUGUGGCGAAGGCGUCUUACCAGAACGGGUUCGACGGUGAGGGACGAAAGCUGGGGGCACGAACCGGAUUAGAUACCCGGGUAGUCCCAGCCGUAAACGAUGCUCGCUAGGUGUCAGGCAUGGCGCGACCGUGUCUGGUGCCGCAGGGAAGCCGUGAAGCGAGCCACCUGGGAAGUACGGCCGCAAGGCUGAAACUUAAAGGAAUUGGCGGGGGAGCACAACAACGGGUGGAGCCUGCGGUUUAAUUGGAUUCAACGCCGGA